RNAcentral lists this ribosomal RNA (255 nucleotides) under uncultured bacterium. RNAcentral's name for it is "partial 16S ribosomal RNA". It matches the Rfam family "Bacterial small subunit ribosomal RNA", at positions 524 to 776 of the family's 1533-position model. The record is from RNAcentral.
UACAGAGGUCCCGAGCGUUAGGCGGAAUCACUGGGCUUAAAGCGUGUGUAGGUGGAUCGUUAAGUACCUUGUGAAAUCCCACGGCUUAACCGUGGAACUGCUUGGUAUACUGGCGGUCUUGAGCCAGCUAGGGGCUACCGGAACAAAUGGUGGAGCGGUGAAAUGCGUAGAUAUCAUUUGGAACGCCAAUGGUGAAAACAGGUAGCUGGGGCUGUGCUGACACUGAGAACACGGAAAGCCAGGGGAGCAAACGGG